RNAcentral lists this ribosomal RNA (253 nucleotides) under uncultured bacterium. Its description in RNAcentral is "partial 16S ribosomal RNA". It matches the Rfam family "Bacterial small subunit ribosomal RNA", at positions 524 to 776 of the family's 1533-position model. The record is from RNAcentral.
UACGAAGGGAGCAAGCGUUGUUCGGAAUUACUGGGCGUAAAGGGCAUGCAGGCGGUUUAGUUAGUUAGAUGUGAAAGCCCAGGGCUCAACCCUGGAACUGCAUUUAAUACUGCUAGACUAGAGAUCAAGAGAGGAUAACGGAAUACCCAGUGUAGAGGUGGAAUUCGUAGAUAUUGGGUGGAACACCAGAGGCGAAGGCGGUUAUCUGGCUUGAUACUGACGCUGAGAUGCGAAAGCGUGGGGAGCGAACAGG